This 211-nucleotide unclassified non-coding RNA is filed under the name Hevea brasiliensis (rubber tree). Lineage: Eukaryota; Viridiplantae; Streptophyta; Magnoliopsida; Malpighiales; Euphorbiaceae. The record is from RNAcentral.
GGUGCCAUCUUCAGAACCUGAAUACAUCCAAUUGCCAUCACAUUGAAAUCCCACCGCCAUAACAUUACUAGUAUGUGAGUCAUAGCUAAUAACAGGUUGUGGGCUAUUUGAAUUAACAUCAAAAAGACGGAUGUGAGGAUUUCCAGCUGCAGCCAGGUAUUGCUUGUCAGGAGUUAUCGCACCCUUCAGUACCCCGAUUCGCAAGUUAACA